AUUCCAGCUCCAAGAGCGUAUAUUAAAGUUGUUGCAGUUAAAAAGCUCGUAGUUGGAUUUCUGGUACAACGCGCCUGGCCCGCUUUUAGUGAGUGCCGGUGCGCGUUUGCCAUCCUUCUAGAAAACGUUUCUACCUGGGCAACCGGGCCGGACUCGCGAUCUAGAUCUUUUACUUUGAAAAAAUUAGAGUGUUUAAAGCAGGCUUUUGCUGUGAAUACAUUAGCAUGGAAUAAUAAUCUAGGACUUCGGUUCUAUUUUGUUGGUUUCUAGUACUGAAGUAAUGAUUGAUAGGGAUAGUUGGGGGUGCUAGUAUUGGCCGGCCAGAGGUGAAAUUCUUGGAUUCGGUCAAGACUAACUUAUGCGAAAGCAUUCACCAAGGAUGUCUUCAUCA
Molecule: ribosomal RNA, 391 nt
Filed under: Cryothecomonas sp.
Lineage: Eukaryota; Cercozoa; Thecofilosea; Cryomonadida; Protaspidae
Description: partial small subunit ribosomal RNA
Rfam family: Eukaryotic small subunit ribosomal RNA
Source: RNAcentral